AGCAGUCGCCACGGUAAUACGAAGGGUGCAAGCGUUAAUCGGAAUUACUGGGCGUAAAGCGUGCGUAGGCGGUUUGUUAAGUCUGUUGUGAAAUCCCCGGGCUCAACCUGGGAAUGGCAAUGGAUACUGGCAAGCUAGAGUGUGUCAGAGGAUGGUGGAAUUCCCGGUGUAGCGGUGAAAUGCGUAGAGAUCGGGAGGAACAUCAGUGGCGAAGGCGGCCAUCUGGGACAACACUGACGCUGAGGCACGAAAGCGUGGGGAGCAAACAGGAUUAGAUACCCCUGUAGUCCCUGUCUCUUAUAC
RNAcentral lists this ribosomal RNA (303 nucleotides) under uncultured bacterium. Its description in RNAcentral is "partial 16S ribosomal RNA". It matches the Rfam family "Bacterial small subunit ribosomal RNA", at positions 507 to 807 of the family's 1533-position model. The record is from RNAcentral.